RNAcentral lists this transfer RNA (59 nucleotides) under Dendrochiton gothicus. RNAcentral describes it as "tRNA-Lys". The record is from RNAcentral. Lineage: Eukaryota; Metazoa; Mollusca; Polyplacophora; Chitonida; Mopaliidae.
UAAGUAACCUGGAUUAGGUACUAAACUUUUAAUUUAGCUACGAUAAAAUACUAUCCUUA